Molecule: ribosomal RNA, 647 nt
Filed under: Fomitopsis dickinsii
Lineage: Eukaryota; Fungi; Basidiomycota; Agaricomycetes; Polyporales; Fomitopsidaceae
Description: partial 28S ribosomal RNA
Rfam family: Eukaryotic large subunit ribosomal RNA
Source: RNAcentral
GCAUAUCAAUAAGCGGAGGAAAAGAAACUAACAAGGAUUCCCCUAGUAACUGCGAGUGAAGCGGGAAAAGCUCAAAUUUAAAAUCUGGCGGUCUUUGGCCGUCCGAGUUGUAGUCUGGAGAAGCGUCUUCCGCGCUGGACCGUGUAUAAGUCUCUUGGAACAGAGCGUCAUAGAGGGUGAGAAUCCCGUCUUUGACACGGACUACCGGUGCUUUGUGAUGCGCUCUCAAAGAGUCGAGUUGUUUGGGAAUGCAGCUCAAAAUGGGUGGUGAAUUCCAUCUAAAGCUAAAUAUUGGCGAGAGACCGAUAGCGAACAAGUACCGUGAGGGAAAGAUGAAAAGCACUUUGGAAAGAGAGUUAAACAGUACGUGAAAUUGCUGAAAGGGAAACGCUUGAAGUCAGUCGCGUUGUCCGGGACUCAGCCUUGCUUCGGCUUGGUGCACUUUCCGGAUGACGGGCCAGCAUCGAUUUUGACCGCCGGAAAAGGGCUGGAGGAAUGUGGCACCUUCGGGUGUGUUAUAGCCUCCAGUCGCAUACGGCGGUUGGGAUCGAGGAACGCAGCACGCCUUAUGGCGGGGGGUUUACCCUACCUUCGUGCUUAGGAUGCUGGCAUAAUGGCUUUAAACGACCCGUCUUGAAACACGGACC